Molecule: transfer RNA, 72 nt
Filed under: Ovis aries (sheep)
Lineage: Eukaryota; Metazoa; Chordata; Mammalia; Artiodactyla; Bovidae
Rfam family: tRNA
About the family: Transfer RNA (tRNA) molecules are approximately 80 nucleotides in length. Their secondary structure includes four short double-helical elements and three loops (D, anti-codon, and T loops).
Source: Rfam by way of RNAcentral
UCCCUGGCGGUCUAGUGCUUAAGACUCUGCAUUUCCAGUACAGGGACACAGGUUCAAUCCCUGGUCAGGGAA